This 497-nucleotide ribosomal RNA is filed under the name uncultured bacterium. RNAcentral describes it as "partial 16S ribosomal RNA". It matches the Rfam family "Bacterial small subunit ribosomal RNA", at positions 28 to 507 of the family's 1533-position model. The record is from RNAcentral.
GAUGAACGCUGGCGGCGUGCCUAAUACAUGCAAGUCGAGCGAACAGACGAGGAGCUUGCUCCUCUGACGUUAGCGGCGGACGGGUGAGUAACACGUGGAUAACCUACCUAUAAGACUGGGAUAACUUCGGGAAACCGGAGCUAAUACCGGAUAAUAUAUUGAACCGCAUGGUUCAAUAGUGAAAGACGGUUUUGCUGUCACUUAUAGAUGGAUCCGCGCCGCACUAGCUAGUUGGUAAGGUAACGGCUUACCAAGGCAACGAUGCGUAGCUGACCUGAGAGGGUGAUCGGCCACACUGGAACUGAGACACGGUCCAGACUCCUACGGGAGGCAGCAGUAGGGAAUCUUCCGCAAAGGGCGAAAGCCUGACGGAGCAACGCCGCGUGAGUGAUGAAGGUCUUCGGAUCGUAAAACUCUGUUAUUAGGGAAGAACAAAUGUGUAAGUAACUAUGCACGUCUUGACGGUACCUAAUCAGAAAGCCACGGCUAACUACGUG